CCCUUAGAGUUUGAUCCUGGCUCAGAUUGAACGCUGGCGGCAGGCCUAACACAUGCAAGUCGAGCGGUAACAGAUUGAUAGCUUGCUAUCAAUGCUGACGAGCGGCGGACGGGUGAGUAAUGCCUGGGAAUAUGCCCUGAUGUGGGGAAUAACUAUUGGAAACGAUAGCUAAUACCGCAUAAUCUCUUCGGAGCAAAGAGGGGGACCUUCGGGCCUCUCGCGUCAGGAUUAGCCCAGGUGGGAUUAGCUUGUUGGUGGGGUAAUGGCUCACCAAGGCAACGAUCCCUAGCUGGUCUGAGAGGAUGAUCAGCCACACUGGAACUGAGACACGGUCCAGACUCCUACGGGAGGCAGCAGUGGGGAAUAUUGCACAAUGGGGGAAACCCUGAUGCAGCCAUGCCGCGUGUAUGAAGAAGGCCUUCGGGUUGUAAAGUACUUUCAGUUGUGAGGAAGGCAGUAAAGUUAAUAGCUUUGCUGUUUGACGUUAGCAACAGAAGAAGCACCGGCUAACUCCGUGCCAGCAGCCGCGGUAAUACGGAGGGUGCGAGCGUUAAUCGGAAUUACUGGGCGUAAAGCGCAUGCAGGUGGUCUGUUAAGCAAGAUGUGAAAGCCCGGGGCUCAACCUCGGAACAGCAUUUUGAACUGGCAGACUAGAGUACUGUAGAGGGGGGGUAGAAUUUCAGGUGUAGCGGUGAAAUGCGUAGAGAUCUGAAGGAAUACCGGUGGCGAAAGGCGGCCCCCUGGACAGAUACUGACACUCAGAUGCGAAAGCGUGGGGAGCAAACAGGGAUUAGAUACCCUGGUAGUCCACGCC
Molecule: ribosomal RNA, 814 nt
Filed under: uncultured Pseudoalteromonas sp.
Lineage: Bacteria; Pseudomonadati; Pseudomonadota; Gammaproteobacteria; Alteromonadales; Pseudoalteromonadaceae
Description: bacterial SSU rRNA
Rfam family: Bacterial small subunit ribosomal RNA
Source: RNAcentral